GGAGGGUUAGUUCAGUGGUAGAGUGCAUGCUUAGCAUGCACAAGGUCCUGGGUUCAAUCCCCAGUACCUCCA
Molecule: transfer RNA, 72 nt
Filed under: Camelus bactrianus (Bactrian camel)
Lineage: Eukaryota; Metazoa; Chordata; Mammalia; Artiodactyla; Camelidae
Also listed under: 3 other names
Rfam family: tRNA
About the family: Transfer RNA (tRNA) molecules are approximately 80 nucleotides in length.
Source: Rfam by way of RNAcentral